This 160-nucleotide ribosomal RNA is filed under the name uncultured bacterium. Its description in RNAcentral is "partial 16S ribosomal RNA". It matches the Rfam family "Bacterial small subunit ribosomal RNA", at positions 355 to 507 of the family's 1533-position model. The record is from RNAcentral.
UGGGGAAUUUUGGACAAUGGGCGAAAGCCUGAUCCAGCAAUGCCGCGUGCAGGAUGAAGGCCCUCGGGUUGUAAACUGCUUUUGUACGGAACGAAAAGCCUGGGGCUAAUAUCCCCGGGUCAUGACGGUACCGUAAGAAUAAGCACCGGCUAACUACGUG